RNAcentral lists this ribosomal RNA (777 nucleotides) under uncultured Neocallimastigales. Its description in RNAcentral is "partial large subunit ribosomal RNA". It matches the Rfam family "Eukaryotic large subunit ribosomal RNA", at positions 22 to 642 of the family's 3401-position model. Lineage: Eukaryota; Fungi; Neocallimastigomycota; Neocallimastigomycetes; Neocallimastigales. The record is from RNAcentral.
GUACACGCUGUGACUAGCAUAUCAAUAAGCGGAGGAAAAGAAACUAACAAGGAUUCCCCUAGUAACGGCGAGUGAAGCGGGAAGAGCUCAAACUUGAAAUCUUAAAGGGUUUCCCUUUACGAAUUGUAGUUUAAAGAAGUGUUUUCUGUUGAGGUUUUGGUAAAAGUUCUUUGGAAUAGGACAUCAUAGAGGGUGAGAAUCCCGUAUUUGACCUUUACUUUCAACUUUGUGAUACACUUUCAAAGAGUCGGAUUGUUUGGGAAUGCAGUCCAAAAUGGGUGGUAAAUUUCAUCUAAAGCUAAAUAUUGGCGAGGAGACCGAUAGCGAACAAGUACCGUGAGGGAAAGAUGAAAAGAACUUUGAAAAGAGAGUUAAACAGUACGUGAAAUUGUCAAAAGGGAAGCGUUUGACACCAGUGUUGUUUUUCUGAAAAUCAAUUAAAGAACUGUUUAUGCUAGGCUGUUUAGACUUUAUCAGCUAACUGUUUAGUUUUGAGCUUUUCUUUAAUGCACUUUUCAGUUAACAAGUCAACAUCAAUUUCUUUUGCUGUAAAAAAGCUUGAGGAAGGUGGCUUGAGAUUCGUCUUAAGUGUUUAUAGCCUCUUGCCUAUGCAGUCGGAGAGAUUGAGGUCUGCAGCGUAGAUCCUUCGGGGCUAAAUGCAUUUGUGCUAAGUUAUAAGCAUUUUAUAGACAACUUGUUGACUAUGAUUUGUCUUGUAGCUUACUCGCUUAUGUUAUUUUACCUACGCUUAGGAUGUUGACGAGACUGUCGAUCUCA